CCUACGGGAGGCAGCAGUGGGGAAUUUUGGACAAUGGGCGAAAGCCUGAUCCAGCAAUGCCGCGUGAGUGAAGAAGGCCUUCGGGUUGUAAAGCUCUUUUGUCAGGGAAGAAACGGUGAGAGCUAAUAUCUUUUGCUAAUGACGGUACCUGAAGAAUAAGCACCGGCUAACUACGUGCCAGCAGCCGCGGUAAUACGUAGGGUGCAAGCGUUAAUCGGAAUUACUGGGCGUAAAGCGUGCGCAGGCGGUUUUGUAAGUCUGAUGUGAAAUCCCCGGGCUCAACCUGGGAAUUGCAUUGGAGACUGCAAGGCUAGAAUCUGGCAGAGGGGGGGUUAGAAUUCCACGUGUAGCAGUGAAAUGCGUAGAUAUGUGGAGGAACACCGAUGGCGAAGGCAGCCCCCGUGGGUCAAGAUUGACGCUCAUGCACGAAAGCGUGGGGAGCAAACAGGAUUAGAUACCCUGGUAGUCCACGCCCUAAACGAUGUCUACUAGUUGUCGGGUUCUUAAUUGACUUGGUAACGCAGCUAACGCGUGAAGUAGACCGCCUGGGGAGUACGGUCGCGAAGNUUAAAACCGUCAAAGGAAUUGACGGCUGGAGACGNGCGACGGACGACGACGAGGGAGGAGG
Molecule: ribosomal RNA, 628 nt
Filed under: uncultured bacterium
Lineage: Bacteria
Description: bacterial SSU rRNA
Rfam family: Bacterial small subunit ribosomal RNA
Source: RNAcentral